GGAUUCCCAGGAGACAUCGGCCCCCCUGGCGACAAUGGCCCAGAAGGCAUGAAGGGUAAGCCUGGAGCCCGAGGCCUGCCGGGACCCCGUGGGCAGCUGGGGCCCGAGGGAGAUGAGGGACCCAUGGGGCCGCCAGGGGCCCCUGGCUUGGAGGGUCAGCCUGGCAGGAAGGGGUUUCCUGGGAGGCCCGGCCUGGAUGGCGUGAAGGGGGAACCAGGGGAUCCUGGUCGGCCGGGGCCUGUGGGAGAGCAGGUUAGUUAGCAACGGUCUCUGAAUGAGUGGCUCCAUUUAUUGGGCCCUUACUCUGUGCCAAGCCCUUUGCCCAGCACCCUCCAUGCACCACCUCGUGUAAUUCUCAGAACAAUUCCAGAGGUAGGUUUAGUCCUCUACCCCUUUCACGAAUGUGGACGGUGACCCUCAGAACGGGGAAGUCUGUAAAUGAGAAAGCUGUGGAUCAUAGUCA
This 463-nucleotide small RNA is filed under the name Pan troglodytes (chimpanzee). Its description in RNAcentral is "retained intron". Lineage: Eukaryota; Metazoa; Chordata; Mammalia; Primates; Hominidae. The record is from RNAcentral.